ACAUCCAGAGAACUUGGCAGAGAUGCCUUGGUGCCUUCGGGAACUCUGAGACAGGUGCUGCAUGGCUGUCGUCAGCUCGUGUUGUGAAAUGUUGGGUUAAGUCCCGNAACGAGCGCAACCCCUAUCCUUUGUUGCCAGCGAUUCGGUCGGGAACUCAAAGGAGACUGCCGGUGAUAAACCGGAGGAAGGUGGGGAUGACGUCAAGUCAUCAUGGCCCUUACGAGUAGGGCUACACACGUGCUACAAUGGCGCAUACAAAGAGAAGCGACCUCGCGAGAGCAAGCGGACCUCAUAAAGUGCGUCGUAGUCCGGAUUGGAGUCUGCAACUCGACUCCAUGAAGUCGGAAUCGCUAGUAAUCGUAGAUCAGAAUGCUACGGUGAAUACGUUCCCGGGCCUUGUACACACCGCCCGUCACACCAUGGGAGUGGGUUGCAAAAGAAGUAGAUAGCUUAACCUUCGGGAGGGCGUUUACCACUUUGUGAUUCAUGACUGGGGUGAAGUCGUAACAAGGUAAGCGUACGUGU
Molecule: ribosomal RNA, 525 nt
Filed under: uncultured bacterium
Lineage: Bacteria
Description: bacterial SSU rRNA
Rfam family: Bacterial small subunit ribosomal RNA
Source: RNAcentral